RNAcentral lists this ribosomal RNA (1554 nucleotides) under Salmonella enterica subsp. enterica serovar Reading. RNAcentral's name for it is "bacterial SSU rRNA". It matches the Rfam family "Bacterial small subunit ribosomal RNA". The record is from RNAcentral. Lineage: Bacteria; Pseudomonadati; Pseudomonadota; Gammaproteobacteria; Enterobacterales; Enterobacteriaceae.
AAAUUGAAGAGUUUGAUCAUGGCUCAGAUUGAACGCUGGCGGCAGGCCUAACACAUGCAAGUCGAACGGUAACAGGAAGCAGCUUGCUGUUUCGCUGACGAGUGGCGGACGGGUGAGUAAUGUCUGGGAAACUGCCUGAUGGAGGGGGAUAACUACUGGAAACGGUGGCUAAUACCGCAUAACGUCGCAAGACCAAAGAGGGGGACCUUCGGGCCUCUUGCCAUCAGAUGUGCCCAGAUGGGAUUAGCUUGUUGGUGAGGUAACGGCUCACCAAGGCGACGAUCCCUAGCUGGUCUGAGAGGAUGACCAGCCACACUGGAACUGAGACACGGUCCAGACUCCUACGGGAGGCAGCAGUGGGGAAUAUUGCACAAUGGGCGCAAGCCUGAUGCAGCCAUGCCGCGUGUAUGAAGAAGGCCUUCGGGUUGUAAAGUACUUUCAGCGGGGAGGAAGGUGUUGUGGUUAAUAACCGCAGCAAUUGACGUUACCCGCAGAAGAAGCACCGGCUAACUCCGUGCCAGCAGCCGCGGUAAUACGGAGGGUGCAAGCGUUAAUCGGAAUUACUGGGCGUAAAGCGCACGCAGGCGGUCUGUCAAGUCGGAUGUGAAAUCCCCGGGCUCAACCUGGGAACUGCAUUCGAAACUGGCAGGCUUGAGUCUUGUAGAGGGGGGUAGAAUUCCAGGUGUAGCGGUGAAAUGCGUAGAGAUCUGGAGGAAUACCGGUGGCGAAGGCGGCCCCCUGGACAAAGACUGACGCUCAGGUGCGAAAGCGUGGGGAGCAAACAGGAUUAGAUACCCUGGUAGUCCACGCCGUAAACGAUGUCUACUUGGAGGUUGUGCCCUUGAGGCGUGGCUUCCGGAGCUAACGCGUUAAGUAGACCGCCUGGGGAGUACGGCCGCAAGGUUAAAACUCAAAUGAAUUGACGGGGGCCCGCACAAGCGGUGGAGCAUGUGGUUUAAUUCGAUGCAACGCGAAGAACCUUACCUGGUCUUGACAUCCACAGAACUUUCCAGAGAUGGAUUGGUGCCUUCGGGAACUGUGAGACAGGUGCUGCAUGGCUGUCGUCAGCUCGUGUUGUGAAAUGUUGGGUUAAGUCCCGCAACGAGCGCAACCCUUAUCCUUUGUUGCCAGCGGUCCGGCCGGGAACUCAAAGGAGACUGCCAGUGAUAAACUGGAGGAAGGUGGGGAUGACGUCAAGUCAUCAUGGCCCUUACGACCAGGGCUACACACGUGCUACAAUGGCGCAUACAAAGAGAAGCGACCUCGCGAGAGCAAGCGGACCUCAUAAAGUGCGUCGUAGUCCGGAUUGGAGUCUGCAACUCGACUCCAUGAAGUCGGAAUCGCUAGUAAUCGUGGAUCAGAAUGCCACGGUGAAUACGUUCCCGGGCCUUGUACACACCGCCCGUCACACCAUGGGAGUGGGUUGCAAAAGAAGUAGGUAGCUUAACCUUCGGGAGGGCGCUUACCACUUUGUGAUUCAUGACUGGGGUGAAGUCGUAACAAGGUAACCGUAGGGGAACCUGCGGUUGGAUCACCUCCUUACCUUAAAGAAGC